Molecule: ribosomal RNA, 940 nt
Filed under: Podoscypha vespillonea
Lineage: Eukaryota; Fungi; Basidiomycota; Agaricomycetes; Polyporales; Podoscyphaceae
Description: LSU rRNA
Rfam family: Eukaryotic large subunit ribosomal RNA
Source: RNAcentral
GCAUAUCAAUAAGCGGAGGAAAAGAAACUAACAAGGAUUCCCCUAGUAACUGCGAGUGAAGCGGGAAGAGCUCAAAUUUAAAAUCUGGCAGUGUCUCGCUGUCCGAGUUGUAGUCUGGAGAAGCGUUUUCUGUGCUGGACCGUGUACAAGUCUCUUGGAAUAGAGCGUCAUAGAGGGUGAGAAUCCCGUCUUUGACACGGACUACCAGUACUUUGUGAUGCGCUCUCAAAGAGUCGAGUUGUUUGGGAAUGCAGCUCAAAAUGGGUGGUAAAUUCCAUCUAAAGCUAAAUAUUGGCGAGAGACCGAUAGCGAACAAGUACCGUGAGGGAAAGAUGAAAAGCACUUUGGAAAGAGAGUUAAACAGUACGUGAAAUUGCUGAAAGGGAAACGCUUGAAGUCAGUCACGUUGGUCAGAACUCAGCCUGGCUUUUUUGCUUGGUGCACUUUCUGAUCAACGGGCCAGCAUCAAUUUUGACCAUUGGAAAAAUUCUCUAGGAAGGUGGCUCUCUCGGGAGUGUUAUAGCCUGGGGUUGUAUGCAGUGGUUGGGAUUGAGGAACUCAGCACGCCUUUAUGGUCGGGGUUCGCCCACGUUCGUGCUUAGGAUGCUGGCGUAAUGGCUUUAAACGACCCGUCUUGAAACACGGACCAAGGAGUCUAACAUGCCUGCGAGUGUUUGGGUGGAAAACCCGAGCGCGCAAUGAAAGUGAAAGUUGGGAUCUCUGUCGUGGAGAGCACCGACGCCCAUACCAGACCUUCUGUGACGGAUAUGCGGUUGAGCAUGUAUGUUGGGACCCGAAAGAUGGUGAACUAUGCCUGAAUAGGGUGAAGCCAGAGGAAACUCUGGUGGAGGCUCGUAGCGAUUCUGACGUGCAAAUCGAUCGUCAAAUUUGGGUAUAGGGGCGAAAGACUAAUCGAACCAUCUAGUAGCUGGUUCCUGCG